AGAGAAUAGAUACCCAGGUAGUCCUGGCAGUAAACGGUGCGCGUUUGGUAUGGGAGGAUUCGACCCCUUCCGUGCCGGAGCUAAACGCGUUAAACGCGCCGCCUGGGGAGUACGGUCGCAAGAUUAAAACUCAAAGAAAUUGACGGGGGCCCGCACAAGCGGUGGAGUAUGUGGCUUAAUUCGAUGCAACGCGAAGAACCUUACCUAGCCUUGACAUGCAUCUCUAAGUCGGUGAAAGCCGGCGAGCCCAGCAAUGGGUAAUUUGCACAGGUGCUGCAUGGCUGUCGUCAGCUCGUGUCGUGAGAUGUUGGGUUAGGUCCCGCAACGAGCGCAACCCCUGUGAACUGUUGCCACUUUCGCUUCGGCGGAAAGCACUCUGUUCAGACUGCCCUGUGAAACGGGGAGGAAGGUGGGGAUGACGUCAAGUCAGCAUGGCCCUUACGGCUAGGGCUGCACACGUACUACAAUGCUCAGUACGGAACGAGCCGAAACCGCGAGGUGGAGGGAAUCCCAAAAACUGAGCCCAAUUCGGAUCGCA
RNAcentral lists this ribosomal RNA (538 nucleotides) under uncultured bacterium. Its description in RNAcentral is "bacterial SSU rRNA". It matches the Rfam family "Bacterial small subunit ribosomal RNA", at positions 773 to 1302 of the family's 1533-position model. The record is from RNAcentral.